CCUACGGGUGGCAGCAGUCGAGAAUCAUUCACAAUGGGGGAAACCCUGAUGGUGCGACGCCGCGUGGGGGAAUGAAGGUCUUCGGAUUGUAAACCCCUGUCAUGUGGGAGCAAAUUAAAAAGAUAGUACCACACGAGGAAGAGACGGCUAACUCUGUUCCAGCAGCCGCGGUAAUACAGAGGUCUCAAGCGUUGUUCGGAAUCACUGGGCGUAAAGCGUGCGUAGGCUGUUUCGUAAGUCGUGUGUGAAGGGCGCGGGCUCAACCCGCGGACGGCACAUGAUACUGCGAGACUAGAGUAAUGGAGGGGGAACCGGAAUUCUCGGUGUAGCAGUGAAAUGCGUAGAUAUCGAGAGGAACACUCGUGGCGAAGGCGGGUUCCUGGACAUUAACUGACGCUGAGGCACGAAGGCCAGGGGAGCGAAAGGGAUUAGAUACCCGAGUAGUC
RNAcentral lists this ribosomal RNA (446 nucleotides) under uncultured bacterium. Its description in RNAcentral is "partial 16S ribosomal RNA". It matches the Rfam family "Bacterial small subunit ribosomal RNA", at positions 338 to 795 of the family's 1533-position model. The record is from RNAcentral.